This 1311-nucleotide long non-coding RNA is filed under the name Homo sapiens (human). RNAcentral's name for it is "HSALNT0368180". Lineage: Eukaryota; Metazoa; Chordata; Mammalia; Primates; Hominidae. The record is from RNAcentral.
UCACUGCAGCCUCCAACCCCGGGAUUCAAGCGAUUCUCCAACCUCAGCCUAUGGGGCAGCUGGGACCACAGGCGCGCGCUACCACGCUCGGCUUGAAGAGAUGAGGACUCUAUGUUGCUCAGGCUGGUCUUGAACUCCUGGGCUCAAGUGAUCCUCCGCCUCGGCCUCUCAAAGUUCUGGGAUUACAGGCGUGAGCCACCGUGCCCGGCCUUACUCAGAUUUUUCUUAAUCCCAUAAAGUAACAAUGAGUUGUGUCCUUUAACCCAUGUGGAAGGAUUUUCUACAGAAACGGAUUUACAAUGAGACAUAACGAUGUGGCCGGGCGCGGUGGCUCAUGCCUGUAAUCCCAGCACUUUGGGAGGCCCAGGAGGGCGGAUCACCUGAGAUCGGGAGUUCGAAACCAGCCUGACCAACAUGGAGAAACCCCGUCUCUACUAAAAAAUACAAAAGUAGCCGGGUGUGGUGGCGAAUGCCUGUAAUCCAAGCUACUUGGGAGGCUGAGGCAGGAGAAUCGCUUGAACCCGGGAGGCGGAGGUUGCGGUGAGCCGAGAUCGCACCGUUGCACUCCAGCCUGGGCAACAAGAGCAAAACUGUCUCAAAAAAAAAGAAAAAAGAAACGUAACAGAGUGUUAAUAAAAUGUUAUGCCGUCAUUUUAAUGCAUUACAAAAACUUCAGAAUAUUUUUGGGUCUACCUCUCUGGAAGGGAGUUAUGCCUUAUUCUUAAUUUUUAAAAUUUCCUUGUAAAAUGCUGUUUUAUGGCUUUAAUGAUAGUAAACGACAAAAGAUAAACUUUUUUAGUAUGCUCUUGACAAAAGUUCCGAAAGUUUUCUGAAAUUUUACUAGUUUGAGAUCCCCAAUUUAGGAAACCGAUUUAGUGGAGAGAGCUUUGCCUAUUUUUGGCCCUUUGGGUCGGAGAAUGUGAUAUAAAGCCGAAGAUUUACUCUGCCAGACAGUCUUAAGAGGUCACUAACGUUUAGCUAUUGACAUUCAGCAAAAAUUGUGGAUUACCUAUUAAAUGCUAGACCAGGGGACAACUGUUAUUAAGUCAGUGUUUCAGCAUUACUGAAAGAAAAGUGGCCUAUAAAGGUGAAGUCACUGCUCCUGCUGUUUGACAUAUUUUCCAUGUAGAAGAUAUGGACCUGGAAAUCAUGCUGACAGUUGGAGUAAGCCAUUUCUAAUCCCAUGCCAGAACCGAAGGCUAAUGGCCACACUCGUCUUUUAAAGAAGAAUCCCACAGGAUGAGAUGAAGAAUAUCAUGUAGCCAUCUCAGCUUAUUUCACAUCGUUUGAAGCCUGCUCUUAGCCAGAGGU